UAACCCCAGGUAACGGUCUGAUGGUAAGUUCUGAUUUUCUCAAUAGUUAUUAUUUGUACAAUUUUAACUGGCAGCUCCUUAUAUCUGGAAAUACAGAGGCAUGUGGAUAUAGCAAGAAAGCCCAUUGGCAUCAUAUUAAAUGAGUGCAUUUAGACCUGGGCUUCACAUAUGAUUAUCCAGUGAGUGAAAAUUUUACAGAAAUGGCUUUCUCAACACAUAGCUUGUCAUUGUUUUCAUCAUUAUUGGAAAAUUUGACAUAAUUUGUAAUCUGAGAAAGAAAACCAAAAUUUAGCUUGAUAAUCAGCGUCAAGCUGCAAUAAUUGUCUAAAAAUCCCCAGAAUUUAAUUUUAACUUAUUUCUGCUUCUAUAAUGUUUUUUUUCCAAACACUUCACCUUAUAAACACUACACCCACUCAGUUUUAGAAAAGAGGGGACAGGCUAUUUGAAUGCAUUGCUAUCUUCUGCCAUGUGGAAGAUAAGAAGUCACUCUGGGUAAUUCAGGAUCCUUACUUAUGUUAUCAAUUAUUCCUUUUGUGUUUUGUUUAUUCAACCUCUAACUUAAACUCAGUUUUUUCUGUUGACUCUUAACUGUGCUUCCUUCUGAGAGAUAGAGAUAGAUACAGAAAAGAAAGAAGAGAAAUCAUUAUGAACAAAACAAAAACUCAGGGCUUACUACCUUUCACUUGUCAUCCUCUCUGUUCCACUUUUUGCAGCUGAAUCUGUGGCCAUUUCCUCAUAUGUUCUCACUGCUUAGCCUGCUCUCAUGCAGCGUGCAGCCUUCCCUUUCCAGCAAACAGCUCUUGAUGAUAUUACCAAUGGCCUCCCUGUCACUAACUAAAUAACAUUUUUUCAGUCUGUCUUACUUGCUGUAUCAGCAUCAUUCAACACCAAUUCUCACACCCUCUUUCUUGAAACAUUUUCUUUCCUUGUCUUCUGGGACACAACAGCCAUCUGUUUUUCCUCUGUAAAUGUUUCUCCAGUGUAUCCUUUUAUAAGUGUAUUUUUACGACCCAGCUGCUAAAUCGUGGAGUUAAUAAAGGCUUGCUCCUAGGCCUUCCUUUAUUCACACUAUCCAAUGUGAUCUCAUCCAUAUAUGGAGCUUCAAUUACCGCUUAUUAAUCUAUUCAAGUGGUUCCCAAAACUGUAUCUCAGGCAUACACUUCUUCAGAUCCUAGAAUCACAUAUAUAACAUUUUACUCGACAGCUCUUCUCAAUAGCUAAUGGCAUCUCCAAAGUUAAAGUGUGAAACAAACAACUCCCGAUUUUCGCAUUACGCUUCCGCUCUAAAGAAACCUAGCUUGGUUUUCAUUCUGUGUUUUCUAGCUCAUGAAUGAUACCACCAAUCACCUGGUUGCUGAUUUAAAAACCAGAGUCACUUUUUACUCCCUAUGUUCAUCCUAAAACUAAGUACUACAGAUUUCACCUGCUAAAUAUCUCUCAAAUCUCUCAAUCUAUCCACUUGUUGUUUUUUUUUUUUAUCUCCAUGAAACACUCUCAUCUGUUUUGGGUGGACGACUACACGGGGCCUGCUCAUGAGGUUACAUCUCUUAUCCUUAUUUCUUCGUACACUAGACUCAGUGGUCUUUUCAGAAGCAAAUCGUAUGAUGUCAGGCUUUUCCUCUUAAAUACUUUCCCACUAUCCUUAGGGGCCAUGCCUGCUGCACUUUUCUACUUACCAUUAAAAUUGGGCAAAUCCAUAAUCAACCAGCUAAGCCCUUUGCCACUGUCUGUGAGUCAGUCUAAGUUCUACCUAAGGCCACUUUUAUUUCCAAACAAAGUGGACAACCAGAUGCAUGACAUGAUAACCAUUGGAGAAUUGAAGAUAUGUUAACCAUUGGAGAAUUGCACCUCCCCACUAAAUUUUCCAGUCACCCUUCAGCAGAGCUGUAAAGUCAUCAAUGCCCUUUUUUCUUUUUCUUAUGUCCAUGUAGUAAGCUGAUUGAUGCAUGGCCCAAGCUUGAACGUUUUCUUCUUCUGCCAGCUAGUUAUAAAGGACCUCCCUCCCAUUCAGCCAUAUGAAUUGAGAGCCAUAUGAAUUGCAAUAAUGGUGGAUGGCAUGGGGAUCUAAGACACCGGCUCCUGCAUCUUAUUUGGAACCCCUGGUCUGGCUUAUGCCCAAUCCCUGAAAUACCAUUUCUGUGUUACAUUAGAUUGUUACUGGGUACACCUGAAUUAUGAUGCAGUAGUUCUGAUAGACACUAGAUUAUAAUGGGUAGUUCUGACAUAGUGACCUCUACCCUAUGUUCAGUCACUUCAUCUUUUCCAAAUCCCAGUAGCAUGCCAGAAGCUCUAUGUUGGCAUGGUCUUGCAGAUAGUAUGGUUUUGCUCCAGGAUCAUACAGUCUAUGUUAUGAUUCUUCUUUUUGGAUUUUACAUAAACUACCAUUAGGCUUGCUCAUCAAAGAUGUUUCUGGCAUCAUAAUAUUUUCUGGGUUGUUUGUCCCAAGGAGCAGGGCCACUUAUACCACAGCCUAGUUCUGUUUUAGACUCUGCUCAAAGCUGACAGCCCUUCAUGUCAUGCGGUAAAUGAGUUUGAGCAGUAUUCUCAAGUAUGGAACUUGCUAUGCUCAGAAGAUUGUGUAGCCUAUAAGGGCAUAGUAACCGUGGAAGCUUCUCCAGGACUGAAAGUUUUUAAAUGCUGGUGAGUUUGUGGAGGUGCAACUGAAACUCAUUCUCUCCACUCCUCACCCUGUGGCACAUAUUAACACGAUGGCCCUCUGUCUUCACCUUUCUCUGUGAAGUGCUGUCACUCCUUCAAGUCAUUAGGUUGCCCUUUGCACUAGAGUAAAUUCCAUCGUAUGAUGUGUGAAGGGAUACAGUAUGUAUCCCUUAAGUAUGGUGUCUCCAGUUUCUCUAGAGCAUGGAUGUAUUUUCAGUUUCCCCUGCAAUGCUGCAUACAUUGGACUUAACAUAACAUGUGGUCUGAGUUCAGGCUCUGCUGUUUGUCAACUAAAUGGCGCUAUGCAUAUUACUUAUUAUCUUGGGUUUCAGUUUCUUUACCUGUAAAAUGAAGCAUUGGAAUAAAUUAUCUCUAAGGACACUCAUGGGAUGAAUCUCCUUUAAUUCUAUGAUUACUAUUGAUUAAGGAAAUCUCUGCUCAUUAUCUUCUAUGUGCACAUAAGGGAUUUUAUCGUGGCAUGACCCUCAGCCUACUUGAUGUUUAAACAACUUGCCAUCAGACAUUACUGAGAACUUUACUAAUUUAAGACUACUCAAAUGAAUUUGCAUUGAAAUUGUGACCAAGACCAAGAGAGACUUGUCAAUUCCCUUCAAUAAUCAAACAAUAAAUGCUUUUCCUUAAUUUGGAAGCAGCUUCCUGCUUCUUGCCCUAUCUCUAGCCUCUACAAUCCAUAUUCAGGGGACUGGCUAACAGAGAGACACUGCUGUCCAUUGUCUGGCUAGCUAAUAAAUCCAAUCUCCCUAUGAGCCUGUUGUGAACUUUGGUUAUACUUCCACAGGAUAGGGUCAAGAGACACUAACCUUAAUGAAUAGAAAGCUACACAUUUCCUGUAUUGGGAUUUUUUAGUGCAUUAUGAACCAUUUAGUCUUUUCUGGCAGCCUACACUUAAGGAAACAUGAAUUCUGGGAACAGGAAUGGAGCUUCUAAGCAUAGAUUCUAACCUGAGGUUAUUUUUGUUAAAUGUCAGCUAAUUCUGCCUAUGUAUAGUGAAUAGAAUUCAUGAUUAGAAUUUAAAUUAUCAGUUCCUGUUCCUACCUGCUCUGAUAAUUGGCCUCAUAAAGAUAAUUGAUAGCUUAUGCCUAAACUCAUGCCUGGUCAAGCCUUCUCCUUCUAUGUACGAAACCACUUUUAAGGGACAAGGAAUUGUUAAUUAAAUAACAUCAUAAGUAAGUGAAAAUAUAUACAUAAUGUUACCUUAAUGACUAUGCUCCAUAAAUUUCAAAGGCAGCCACACAAACAUAUAGAGAAUUCUCUUAAUGAAUAUUUUCACAUUUAGGUUAAGCCUACUAAGAUUCUCAUAGGAAGUCAGAUAAGCGACCUAGUUUUAAUAUGAAAAAUAUUUCAAUGUAUUUUAAUGGUAAUCUGUAUAUAAUGUAGUUAUCUACCUAAGGUGUGUUUUAAUUUUUUUUUCCUAAAAUAGACCUUAAUCUGACAUCAAUAUUUUUAUGUUCCUGUAAUGGCUGCAUUUGGGGAAAGAACUAUUGGAGACAUAAAGCAAUAUCUAAAUAGGAAUGGACAGGCAUCCACAGGGGCAAAAACAUGCACCAGCCUGAGCUCAGGAUACCUUUCAAAUGUAACCAGCCAACACUGUUAAUAAGUAGAAGCAGUGGAGAACCAUGCAGUAUUCCUACACACAACACAAAAUAGAGGUAAGUGACAAACCUACAGAUUGAAAGGUCAACAGGCUAUCUUUUAGGUCAGGCAAAGGAUGCAUACAAUUAGUGCUGAGGAAGAUUAAGUAUCUGAGGCUAGGACAAUAACAUCCACAUUUAGACCUUCUUGUAAUUAAUCCUUCAGUUUGAAGACAAUUUUACGUGCAUACACACACAUACACACACACACAUACAAACAUAUACAUUCACACACACACCCACAUGUCAAAUUUCAAAGUUUUGAGUCAUUAUAAAGUUUUGUUGAAGGCAUUUAGUAUAAUGUAACUGAAAUAACUGUUGGCAUAGUCGUGAUGGUUUGGAAUACUUAUAUGACCAAAGGGGUGGAGCUGUAGCUCAUAUCAAGAAAUGCUAAUUAGAUUUGGACUAUAAAUUGUUCCUAUCAGCCACAUUGACCAUACAGCUGUGACUUUUCGGUUAGGCUGUUUUAUUUGGUUUAUUUUUUGUCCAGGACAGCCAAAGAAUGAAGUAAUUUUAAUUGCAUAAAUUUGACUUUCAAUGGAUGCAGUCACUAAAUACUCAUCUCCAGAAUGAAGCUUUAGCUUGCAAAGCUAAAUAUAAAUUUCCUUAUAACUGAAGAGAAAAUACGCAUCUUGAAAUGGGACAAAACAAAGAUAUUUUCCAAUAUUAACUGCAAAGUCAGUAUUGUUUUCAUCCUUUCGUGUUUAUCCCCAUUAUCACAUUUCUCAAAAUGUGACAUUUAGUUUUUAUGAUCCAUCAAACCAACUAUUUGGAAGACUACCAAAUAUUAACAGAAUAAAUUCAAGACAAUUGUUUUUCUGUUUCAUCUUCUGUCCAAUAGAAAACCUUAGAAUGUAUGUGUACAUGUAUCUAUAUUUACAUAUGUCUUCUGUUAGCAAUUUACCAUUCUUAAAGUUUUGCUUAUUUUAAUCUGAAAACUCCCUUCUUAUAUGUGCAUGUAUGAUAAAUUUUUGAUAUUCAAGUAUUUAUAAUUAAAAGUAUUAUUCUGAACAUUAAUAAUCCA
This 5334-nucleotide long non-coding RNA is filed under the name Homo sapiens (human). RNAcentral's name for it is "HSALNT0336685". The record is from RNAcentral. Lineage: Eukaryota; Metazoa; Chordata; Mammalia; Primates; Hominidae.